GAAAAGGCCCUGAUGCUGGGAAAGACUGAAGGAGAGGAAAUGGAGGCCCCUGGAGGGAACUGGCAGGAUGGACACAGGUCAUUCCACGCCACCUGAGGGGAGCCGCCCACCACCGAUCUCCCCGGCCCCUGCCCUGGCUCCGGAAGGGAUGGCCCGAGUGCUGGCACACUGCUCAGGACAAGAAGUUGUGGCCCAACCCUCCCAGGAACAAGCCCCAGGAGGGCAGAACACGG
Odocoileus virginianus texanus is the source of this 233-nucleotide non-coding RNA. The record is from RefSeq and is a predicted model, not a curated record. NCBI's taxonomy places the organism in Eukaryota, Metazoa, Chordata, Mammalia, Artiodactyla, Cervidae.